GUUGGUGAUUUAAAAAUUAUUAUUAUCAUUAUCAUCAGUGUGUGUGUGUGUGUGUGUGUGUGUGUGUGUGUGUGUGUGUAUGUGUGUGUGUAUGUAUGUAUGCGCAUGUGUGGUGUGGGUCUGAGUGCCGGCUUUCAGAAGUUGGUUCUCUCCUUCUACCAUUGUUCCUGGGGACAGAACACAUUGGAAUACUUGCAUGGUGAGCACUUUGUUUCCCGUGGCAUCUUGCUGACCCUAGUUUAGCAUUUUGUUUGUACAGCCUUUAUCUGUUUUUUGUAUCAGGAUAACAUCACUAUCUAAAAGGAGUUGGGCAUUUCAAGAAGUUAUUGUGUAAAAUGGACAUCAUGAUUCUUCUCCUCACGGCAAGCUUGACUACUUUUUGGCUAAUCUGGAUCCAGUCUAGACAAUAGGCUAAGUACCACAUCUAUGACCAGGUCCCCACCCAUCUUGAAGGUUGAGUUCAUCUUAAUCUUAGCUUUAUAUGACUUUAAAAUUUGUACCCUCCCAUCUGUAAGCAGACUUCCCGUGUAUAUCUGUCUGUGUUAUUGAUUAGUACCCUCCCCUCUGUGAGCGCACCCCUGUAUAUGUCUGUCUGGGUCAUUGGCCCACCCACUUGUGCUUUUUCACUGAGCACGUUUUGAGCAGCAGACCCCUGACUGGACACUUGGAACCCAGGGUCCCUUAUCAUAGCUCAUCUUCCUUUCUUCCUUUUCCCUCACCACUGGUUCUGAGCUGCAUUUAGCUAUGAAGCCGCCUGCAGCUAGUUCUACGAAGCCACGAAGCCUCCAGCAGACAGCUCUACAGAGUCUGCAAAGCCACCCGCAGCCAGCCCUAUGGAGCUGCAAAGCCGCCUGCAGCCAGCUCUCCAAAGCCAGGAAGCUGCCUGCAGCCAGCUCUCUGCAUUUCUCCACUCUUGCUGACCUCAUUCUUAUAGGGAGGGACAGCUGAGCCAGUUCUCUCGGAUAGAUCGUCCAUUUGCGCUUAUGUCUCUACUUAGCACCACAACAUGGUGACUGUAACUCAUGAAACUGUAUUAUUACCUUACAGUUCUGAAGGUGGUCUCCAGAAGAGCUCAUCGGCAUUCAAUGGAUUACUGGCAAAGCUGUGUUCCUUCUUCAGGCUCCGGAGAGUCCGUUUACUGCCUAUUCUAGUUUCCGGAAGUUGCCUGAGUUCUUCAGCUUCUUGCUCCCUUUCCCUCAGCGUCAAGAAUAUAUAAAUUUCACCUCUCCUGUGCUGACCAUUACUGGGUAUGCUAUUAUAAACAUUCUUUUGUCUACGCUGUCCAUUAUA
RNAcentral lists this long non-coding RNA (1290 nucleotides) under Mus musculus (house mouse). Its description in RNAcentral is "long non-coding RNA chr19:56008025-56009315". The record is from RNAcentral. Lineage: Eukaryota; Metazoa; Chordata; Mammalia; Rodentia; Muridae.